UACGUAGGUGGCAAGCGUUGUCCGGAUUUAUUGGGUUUAAAGGGUGCGUAGGCGGUCUUAUAAGUCAGUGCUGAAAUAUCCCGGCUUAACCGGGAGGGUGGCAUUGAUACUGUAGGACUUGAGUAAAGUUGAGGUUGGCGGAAUUGACGGUGUAGCGGUGAAACGCUUAGAUAUCGUCAAGAACACCUAUAGCGAAGGCAGCUAACUAAACUUUAACUGACGCUGAGGCACGAAAGUGUGGGGAUCAAACAGG
This 253-nucleotide ribosomal RNA is filed under the name uncultured bacterium. RNAcentral's name for it is "partial 16S ribosomal RNA". It matches the Rfam family "Bacterial small subunit ribosomal RNA", at positions 524 to 776 of the family's 1533-position model. The record is from RNAcentral.